GGGUUGUGAGGUUAAGCGACUAAGCGUACACGGUGGAUGCCCUGGCAGUCAGAGGCGAUGAAGGACGUGCUAAUCUGCGAAAAGCGUCGGUAAGGUGAUAUGAACCGUUAUAACCGGCGAUGUCCGAAUGGGGAAACCCAGUGUGAUUCGUCACACUAUCGUUAACUGAAUACAUAGGUUAACGAGGCGAACCGGGGGAACUGAAACAUCUAAGUACCCCGAGGAAAAGAAAUCAACCGAGAUUCCCCCAGUAGCGGCGAGCGAACGGGGAGCAGCCCAGAGUCUGAAUCAGCUUGUGUGUUAGUGGAACGGUCUGGAAAGUCCGACGGUACAGGGUGAUAGUCCCGUACACCAAAAUGCACAGGCUGUGAACUCGAAGAGUAGGGCGGGACACGUGGUAUCCUGUCUGAAUAUGGGGGGACCAUCCUCCAAGGCUAAAUACUCCUGACUGACCGAUAGUGAACCAGUACCGUGAGGGAAAGGCGAAAAGAACCCCGGCGAGGGGAGUGAAAAAGAACCUGAAACCGUGUACGUACAAGCAGUGGGAGCACCUUUAUGGUGUGACUGCGUACCUUUUGUAUAAUGGGUCAGCGACUUAUAUUCUGUAGCAAGGUUAACCGUAUAGGGGAGCCGCAGGGAAACCGAGUCUUAACUGGGCGUUAAGUUGCAGGGUAUAGACCCGAAACCCGGUGAUCUAGCCAUGGGCAGGUUGAAGGUUGGGUAACACUAACUGGAGGACCGAACCGACUAAUGUUGAAAAAUUAGCGGAUGACUUGUGGCUGGGGGUGAAAGGCCAAUCAAACCGGGAGAUAGCUGGUUCUCCCCGAAAGCUAUUUAGGUAGCGCCUCGUGAACUCAUCUUCGGGGGUAGAGCACUGUUUCGGCUAGGGGGUCAUCCCGACUUACCAACCCGAUGCAAACUACGAAUACCGAAGAAUGUUAUCACGGGAGACACACGGCGGGUGCUAACGUCCGUCGUGAAGAGGGAAACAACCCAGACCGCCAGCUAAGGUCCCAAAGUCAUGGUUAAGUGGGAAACGAUGUGGGAAGGCACAGACAGCCAGGAUGUUGGCUUAGAAGCAGCCAUCAUUUAAAGAAAGCGUAAUAGCUCACUGGUCGAGUCGGCCUGCGCGGAAGAUGUAACGGGGCUAAACCAUGCACCGAAGCUGCGGCAGCGACGCUUAUGCGUUGUUGGGUAGGGGAGCGUUCUGUAAGCCUGCGAAGGUGGCCUGUGAGGGUUGCUGGAGGUAUCAGAAGUGCGAAUGCUGACAUAAGUAACGAUAAAGCGGGUGAAAAGCCCGCUCGCCGGAAGACCAAGGGUUCCUGUCCAACGUUAAUCGGGGCAGGGUGAGUCGACCCCUAAGGCGAGGCCGAAAGGCGUAGUCGAUGGGAAACAGGUUAAUAUUCCUGUACUUGGUGUUACUGCGAAGGGGGGACGGAGAAGGCUAUGUUAGCCGGGCGACGGUUGUCCCGGUUUAAGCAUGUAGGCUGGUUAUCCAGGCAAAUCCGGAUAAUCAAGGCUGAGGUGUGAUGACGAGGCACUACGGUGCUGAAGUAACAAAUGCCCUGCUUCCAGGAAAAGCCUCUAAGCAUCAGGUAACAUCAAAUCGUACCCCAAACCGACACAGGUGGUCAGGUAGAGAAUACCAAGGCGCUUGAGAGAACUCGGGUGAAGGAACUAGGCAAAAUGGUGCCGUAACUUCGGGAGAAGGCACGCUGGUGUGUAGGUGAAGUCCCUGCGGAUGGAGCUGAGACCAGUCGAAGAUACCAGCUGGCUGCAACUGUUUAUUAAAAACACAGCACUGUGCAAACACGAAAGUGGACGUAUACGGUGUGACGCCUGCCCGGUGCCGGAAGGUUAAUUGAUGGGGUUAUCCGUAAGGAGAAGCUCUUGAUCGAAGCCCCGGUAAACGGCGGCCGUAACUAUAACGGUCCUAAGGUAGCGAAAUUCCUUGUCGGGUAAGUUCCGACCUGCACGAAUGGCGUAAUGAUGGCCAGGCUGUCUCCACCCGAGACUCAGUGAAAUUGAACUCGCUGUGAAGAUGCAGUGUACCCGCGGCAAGACGGAAAGACCCCGUGAACCUUUACUAUAGCUUGACACUGAACAUUGAGCCUUGAUGUGUAGGAUAGGUGGGAGGCUUUGAAGCGUGGACGCCAGUCUGCGUGGAGCCAACCUUGAAAUACCACCCUUUAAUGUUUGAUGUUCUAACGUUGGCCCCUUACCGGGGUUGCGGACAGUGUCUGGUGGGUAGUUUGACUGGGGCGGUCUCCUCCCAAAGCGUAACGGAGGAGCACGAAGGUUAGCUAAUCCUGGUCGGACAUCAGGAGGUUAGUGCAAUGGCAUAAGCUAGCUUGACUGCGAGCGUGACGGCGCGAGCAGGUGCGAAAGCAGGUCAUAGUGAUCCGGUGGUUCUGAAUGGAAGGGCCAUCGCUCAACGGAUAAAAGGUACUCCGGGGAUAACAGGCUGAUACCGCCCAAGAGUUCAUAUCGACGGCGGUGUUUGGCACCUCGAUGUCGGCUCAUCACAUCCUGGGGCUGAAGUAGGUCCCAAGGGUAUGGCUGUUCGCCAUUUAAAGUGGUACGCGAGCUGGGUUUAGAACGUCGUGAGACAGUUCGGUCCCUAUCUGCCGUGGGCGCUGGAGAAUUGAGGGGGGCUGCUCCUAGUACGAGAGGACCGGAGUGGACGCAUCACUGGUGUUCGGGUUGUCAUGCCAAUGGCACUGCCCGGUAGCUAAAUGCGGAAGAGAUAAGUGCUGAAAGCAUCUAAGCACGAAACUUGCCCCGAGAUGAGUUCUCCCUGAGACUUUAAGUCUCCUGAAGGAACGUUGAAGACGACGACGUUGAUAGGCCGGGUGUGUAAGCGCAGCGAUGCGUUGAGCUAACCGGUACUAAUGAACCGUGAGGCUUAACCUUACAACGCCGAAG
RNAcentral lists this ribosomal RNA (2925 nucleotides) under Klebsiella quasipneumoniae. RNAcentral describes it as "bacterial LSU rRNA". It matches the Rfam family "Bacterial large subunit ribosomal RNA". The record is from RNAcentral. Lineage: Bacteria; Pseudomonadati; Pseudomonadota; Gammaproteobacteria; Enterobacterales; Enterobacteriaceae.